This 497-nucleotide ribosomal RNA is filed under the name uncultured bacterium. RNAcentral describes it as "partial 16S ribosomal RNA". It matches the Rfam family "Bacterial small subunit ribosomal RNA", at positions 28 to 507 of the family's 1533-position model. The record is from RNAcentral.
GAUGAACGCUGGCGGCGUGCCUAAUACAUGCAAGUCGAGCGAACAGACGAGGAGCUUGCUCCUCUGACGUUAGCGGCGGACGGGUGAGUAACACGUGGAUAACCUACCUAUAAGACUGGGAUAACUUCGGGAAACCGGAGCUAAUACCGGAUAAUAUAUUGAACCGCAUGGUUCAAUAGUGAAAGACGGUUUUGCUGUCACUUAUAGAUGGAUCCGCGCCGCAUUAGCUAAUUGGUAAGGUAACGGCUUACCAAGGCGACGAUGCGUAGCCGACCUGAGAGGGUGAUCGGCCACACUGGAACUGAGACACGGUCCAGACUCCUACGGGAGGCAGCAGUAGGGAAUCUUCCGCAAAGGGCGAAAGCCUGACGGAGCAACGCCGCGUGAGUGAUGAAGGUCUUCGGAUCGUAAAACUCUGUUAUUAGGGAAGAACAAAUGUGUAAGUAACUAUGCACGUCUUGACGGUACCUAAUCAGAAAGCCACGGCUAACUACGUG